ACGCUCGACACCUAGGAGGCAGCAGUGGGGAAUAUUGCACAAUGGGGGAAACCCUGAUGCAGCGACGCCGCGUGGAGGAAGAAGGUCUUCGGAUUGUAAACUCCUGUUGUUGGGGAAAAAGAGGAUGGUACCCAACAAGGAAGUGACGGCUAACUACGUGCCCGCAGCCGCGGUAAUCUGAGCGGGCUGGCAAGGC
Molecule: ribosomal RNA, 196 nt
Filed under: uncultured bacterium
Lineage: Bacteria
Description: partial 16S ribosomal RNA
Rfam family: Bacterial small subunit ribosomal RNA
Source: RNAcentral